GUAGGUGAACCUGCGGAAGGAUCAUUAUCGAGCGAAUCCAAAACGAACGAAAAAGUCUCCCAACGUGCAUACCUUCCAUUUGCAUGUUGUUGUGAGCCACAUGGAAACUCGUACACACGUGGUGGCAGCCGUCUGCUGUGCUUUUUUUAGGCAGACAAUGGCUUACGAGUGGCCGUGUGCUUGUUGAACAACGGUGACCAAUUUGGCGUCUACGCCGUAUCUAGCUUCUGCCUGGACCGUCAGUUGCGAUGAAAGAUGCGGAGAAAGUUCCUUUGUUUUGGCUGCUAAUCAUCAUUGAUGAGCAGUAGCUUAAGGCAGAGUUGAGCAGACUUAAUGAGCCACGCUAGGUGGCCGCCAAAACCCAAAACACAACCGGUCUAUUUGACAUUGUUAUUUCAUUGUAUGUGUUGAAAAUGUACAAAUCUUGGCGGUGGAUCACUCGGUUCGUGGAUCGAUGAAGAACGCAGCCAGCUGCGAUAAAUAGUGCGAAUUGCAGACACAUUGAGCACUAAGAAUUCGAACGCACAUUGCGCUAUCGGGUUCAUUCCCGAUGGCACGUCUGGCUGAGGGUCGAAUUACGGUGAACUGUCUUCACGGUUUUUCUGGACUGUGAAGCAUUCGGCAAGCAAUUGCUGUUGUGUUGUUGGUGAUUCUAUCAUGGACAAUAUGACGAGCGGUUCCUUGCUUAGUGAUGACAAAAGAAGACGUCAACACCGAAUCUACUAUACUACUAAUACUAGUAUAUAGGUGAGGUGCUUUUGGUGGUCACAAAAGUGACAAGUAUGCCAUUUCAUAGGGGCAACAACCAGCAUACGUGAUAAGUUGGCUGGUUGAUGAAACGGCAACGGAAUGACGGACGUCUAUGUGAUCAAAAAUGAUACUAUUUGACCUCAGCUCAGUCGUGAUUACCCGCUGAAUUUAAGCAUAUAAUUAAGCGGAGGAAAAGAAACUAA
RNAcentral lists this ribosomal RNA (953 nucleotides) under Anisakis simplex (herring worm). RNAcentral describes it as "eukaryotic LSU rRNA". The stretch from base 420 to 573 matches the Rfam family "5.8S ribosomal RNA". Lineage: Eukaryota; Metazoa; Nematoda; Chromadorea; Rhabditida; Anisakidae. The record is from RNAcentral.